UAUCAGUCUUACUUUGACCAUAAGAUAAACUCGUAGUCUUACUAAUUCAUUUAAAAUGAAAGCAUUCUUGCUUAUAUUUGCCGUUAUAAUGGCACUGUUUACGUUAACUUCAGCAAUGGACAUCGAAACUGAACACAAACCUCUGGUGGAACGAAUCAAACGUGAAAAUUGUGAUUACCGUGAAUGUGACCAGUUCUGCAGACACCUAGGUCUUCCUGGAGGAGCCUGUGUCAGGAAUAAAUGCGAUUGCGACAGAUUUUGAUUUAUUGAUGUUAAUUAUAUUUGAAAAGUCUUAUUUAUUAUUCUAAUUAAAUAUAAUAGUUAAAUAAUUCC
Long non-coding RNA from Pararge aegeria (speckled wood butterfly), 333 nucleotides. RefSeq lists it as uncharacterized. The transcript is spliced from 2 exons. Lineage: Eukaryota; Metazoa; Arthropoda; Insecta; Lepidoptera; Nymphalidae. The record is from RefSeq and is a predicted model, not a curated record.